RNAcentral lists this long non-coding RNA (648 nucleotides) under Homo sapiens (human). RNAcentral describes it as "HSALNT0363394". The record is from RNAcentral. Lineage: Eukaryota; Metazoa; Chordata; Mammalia; Primates; Hominidae.
AUGGAGAGACGGAGCCUCACCCAGCCUCUUAGGCGACAGCAGCUUCUCAGGGCCCAGCUCCGCACUCAGCAUGGCCCGGGCCCGGCUCAGCGCCUGACGGAUGCCCUGCAGCUCCUGGGGCUCGGGCCCAGCCCGCACCUGGGUCAGUAGGUCCUGCACCAGCUGGCCCGCGGCUGUGUGUCGGUCCUGCAUCAGUGCUGCCGCAGCCCGGCCCACCUGCCGCUCCGGUGCCAGUAGGGAGCAGAAGGCGGCGCUCAUGGACCGAAGCAGAGGUCGUCGGCGGCCCAGGUGCCCAGUAGUGAAGCUGGACGGGCUGGGGGCUCCAGGAGAGCCCGCGCCUGACUCUCCAGGGCUUUCCAUGGCUGGGAGCUCCUUCGCUUCAGGAAGAGAAUCCAGUCCCAAGGCAAGGCACGCACAUCCCCAAGAUGGGUUUCACCAUGUUGCCCAAGCUGGUCUCGAAAAGAACUCCUGGGCCCGAGCAAUCUACCCGCCUUGGCCUCCCAAAGUGCUGGGACUGUAGAUGUGAGCCACGGAGCCCAGCCCGUUUCUGUUUUCCUAGGGUUCACAUAGCCCAGAGAGACCCAGGACCCCGUAAGAAACUGCUGACAGCUGGAUUUGCCUGGACAUAUUCACAUGACACCAAGCAAC